Molecule: ribosomal RNA, 426 nt
Filed under: uncultured bacterium
Lineage: Bacteria
Description: bacterial SSU rRNA
Rfam family: Bacterial small subunit ribosomal RNA
Source: RNAcentral
AACGAACGUUAGCGGCGCGCUUAACACAUGCAAGUCGCACGAGAAAGGGCUUCGGCCCCGGUAAAGUGGCGCACGGGUGAGUAACACGUGGAUAACCUACCCUCGAGCAGGGGAUAACAUCCCGAAAGGGGUGCUAAUACCGCAUAAGACCACGGCUUCGAAAGGAGCUGAGGUAAAAGCUGGCCUCUAUAUAUAAGCUAGCGCUUGAGGACGGGUCCGCGGCGCAUCAGGUAGUUGGCGGGGUAAUGGCCCACCAAGCCUAAGACGCGUAGCUGGUCUGAGAGGAUGAUCAGCCACACUGGAACUGAGACACGGUCCAGACUCCUACGGGAGGCAGCAGUGGGGAAUCUUGCGCAAUGGACGAAAGUCUGACGCAGCGACGCCGCGUGUGUGAUGAAGGCCUCGGUCGUAAGCACUGUGGGAGGA